This 837-nucleotide non-coding RNA is filed under the name Pongo abelii (Sumatran orangutan). Lineage: Eukaryota; Metazoa; Chordata; Mammalia; Primates; Hominidae. The record is from RNAcentral.
GAUGCUUCACUAUUAAAAUAUUUUCCCCCCAAGUCUCAAAUAUUGAAGAAUCUCUAACCAGGCUCGAAACGCCGGUCUCAGUGACUAUUGAGUUACCCACCAAGUUACCCCGGUUAGAGCUGUUUGGGGUGGCUCACGUUAUUGCGGCAAACUUUGGAGAUGACGGCUGAGUCCUCUGGGCGAACAUGUCAAGCCGAUUGUAAAUGCUGUUAUUUCCACAUCCUUCAGGGACACCAGUCCCAACGAAGACCUUGGGCGAUUUCAAAGUGCGGGCACCUCGAUUCCCCGAAUCUGUAGUGUGGCUGGUAUCGGUGUUUCCCUGGUUUAACUAGCCUGCUUGGCACGACAAAUGAGACCCAAGUGCUUAUAGAACAUUCCAAAGAGUCAACAGAGAGAAGUGGAAAGUAUUAGAAACAUGAUUGUGUUUGCAAAGGGAGACAUAAACAUGGGGAAAUUGAGGCACAGAAGCCAAGACAUGCGCUAAAGGUCAUGCGGGCUAUGAAUGGAGCUGGAAUGUGAAUGCAGGCCAUGUGACUCCAGAGCCCAUGUUCUUGAACCCUUAGAAAGACAGCAGCAACACACCUGGUGCAGCAGCUGCUUAGUUGGAGUGGCUGACAAGGUUGGCAGAGGAUCCCGUUCCUCCCGUGGAGUGGCUGCCAUGACACUGCGUGCACUGAAGCUGCUCCUAUUUCUGAAAUAUGUAUUGUUAUUUUUUUCCCUCCAUGUUGAACAUUAUACUCUUCUGUUCUUUCGUAUUCUCUUCUUCCCUUCCAGAUGACUUCUAGGGUUUUUAUAAUUCUGUAAUUCUAAAGGAGAAAGGAUAAUAAGAAUUGUGAG